GAUACUGGUCUUCUGUGUUUCUUUCUGUGCUUGGCUCUCUUCAUCUACAUGCCACUGUUUGAGCUUUUACCAUGGUAAAUGUGGGUCAGGUGAUAACAUUAAAUCAACAAGAUCCACUGGAAAAUAGAGGCAGGUGAAAACAGCCCAGCUGAGCAGUGAAGAUCACAGGCCUCCAGGACUGGCACGUCUGCAUGGUGAGUGUCGUCAUCCUGCGUGCAAUUUAAACAAACAAAAGAGAGGAGUUGUGCAUAUCUGCCUGGACUGCAUUAGGAUUUGUCUGUUUGAA
Labeo rohita (rohu) is the source of this 286-nucleotide long non-coding RNA. RefSeq lists it as uncharacterized. The transcript has 3 exons. Lineage: Eukaryota; Metazoa; Chordata; Actinopteri; Cypriniformes; Cyprinidae. The record is from RefSeq and is a predicted model, not a curated record.